RNAcentral lists this ribosomal RNA (905 nucleotides) under uncultured Bacteroidota bacterium. RNAcentral describes it as "bacterial SSU rRNA". It matches the Rfam family "Bacterial small subunit ribosomal RNA", at positions 1 to 899 of the family's 1533-position model. The record is from RNAcentral. Lineage: Bacteria; Pseudomonadati; Bacteroidota.
GGAUCCAGACUUUGAUUAUGGCUCAGGAUGAACGCUAGCUACAGGCUUAACACAUGCAAGUCGAGGGGCAGCAUGGUCUUAGCUUGCUAAGGCCGAUGGCGACCGGCGCACGGGUGAGUAACACGUAUCCAACCUGCCGUCUACUCUUGGACAGCCUUCUGAAAGGAAGAUUAAUACAAGAUGGCAUCAUGAGUCCGCAUGUUCACAUGAUUAAAGGUAUUCCGGUAGACGAUGGGGAUGCGUUCCAUUAGAUAGUAGGCGGGGUAACGGCCCACCUAGUCUUCGAUGGAUAGGGGUUCUGAGAGGAAGGUCCCCCACAUUGGAACUGAGACACGGUCCAAACUCCUACGGGAGGCAGCAGUGAGGAAUAUUGGUCAAUGGGCGAGAGCCUGAACCAGCCAAGUAGCGUGAAGGAUGACUGCCCUAUGGGUUGUAAACUUCUUUUAUAAAGGAAUAAAGUCGGGUAUGCAUACCCGUUUGCAUGUACUUUAUGAAUAAGGAUCGGCUAACUCCGUGCCAGCAGCCGCGGUAAUACGGAGGAUCCGAGCGUUAUCCGGAUUUAUUGGGUUUAAAGGGAGCGUAGAUGGAUGUUUAAGUCAGUUGUGAAAGUUUGCGGCUCAACCGUAAAAUUGCAGUUGAUACUGGAUAUCUUGAGUGCAGUUGAGGCAGGCGGAAUUCGUGGUGUAGCGGUGAAAUGCUUAGAUAUCACGAAGAACUCCGAUUGCGAAGGCAGCCUGCUAAGCUGCAACUGACAUUGAGGCUCGAAAGUGUGGGUAUCAAACAGGAUUAGAUACCCUGGUAGUCCACACGGUAAACGAUGAAUACUCGCUGUUUGCGAUAUACGGCAAGCGGCCAAGCGAAAGCGUUAAGUAUUCCACCUGGGGAGUACGCCGGCAACGGUGCAA